AUACGGAGGAUCCGAGCGUUAUCCGGAUUUAUUGGGUUUAAAGGGUGCGCAGGCGGGAGAUUAAGUCGGCGGUGAAAUUUUGCAGCUCAACUGUAAAAGUGCCUUCGAAACUGGUUUCCUUGAGGGUAGAUGGAGUAGGCGGAAUUUGUGGUGUAGCGGUGAAAUGCAUAGAUAUCACGAGGAACUCCGAUUGCGCAGGCAGCUUACUAAACUACUACUGACGCUCAGGCACGAAGGCGUGGGGAUCAAACAGGAUUAGAUACCCUGGUAGUCCACGCAGUGAACGAUGAUUACUAGCUGUUUGCGAUACAAUGUAAGCGGCUGAGCGAAAGCGUUAAGUAAUCCACCUGGGGAGUACGUUCGCAAGAAUGAAACUCAAAGGAAUUGACGGGG
This 393-nucleotide ribosomal RNA is filed under the name uncultured bacterium. RNAcentral's name for it is "partial 16S ribosomal RNA". It matches the Rfam family "Bacterial small subunit ribosomal RNA", at positions 523 to 918 of the family's 1533-position model. The record is from RNAcentral.